AACGAACGCUGGCGGCAGGCUUAACACAUGCAAGUCGAGCGCCCCGCAGGGGGAGCGGCAGACGGGUGAGUAACGCGUGGGAACGUACCUUUUGGUUCGGAACAACUCCGGGAAACUGGAGCUAAUACCGGAUAAGCCCUAACGGGGAAAGAUUUAUCGCCGAAAGAUCGGCCCGCGUCUGAUUAGCUAGUUGGUGAGGUAACGGCUCACCAAGGCGACGAUCAGUAGCUGGUCUGAGAGGAUGAUCAGCCACACUGGGACUGAGACACGGCCCAGACUCCUACGGGAGGCAGCAGUGGGGAAUAUUGGACAAUGGGCGCAAGCCUGAUCCAGCCAUGCCGCGUGAGUGAUGAAGGCCUUAGGGUUGUAAAGCUCUUUUGUCCGGGAAGAUAAUGACUGUACCGGAAGAAUAAGCCCCGGCUAACUUCGUG
This 431-nucleotide ribosomal RNA is filed under the name uncultured bacterium. Its description in RNAcentral is "partial 16S ribosomal RNA". It matches the Rfam family "Bacterial small subunit ribosomal RNA", at positions 29 to 507 of the family's 1533-position model. The record is from RNAcentral.